This 490-nucleotide ribosomal RNA is filed under the name uncultured bacterium. RNAcentral describes it as "partial 16S ribosomal RNA". It matches the Rfam family "Bacterial small subunit ribosomal RNA", at positions 29 to 507 of the family's 1533-position model. The record is from RNAcentral.
AGUGAACGCUGGCGGUAGGCCUAACACAUGCAAGUCGAACGGCAGCACAGUAAGACUUUCCCUCUAGGGGGCGCGUGUCGGACGCGUGAGGGAUACAUCGGAAUCUGCCCAGUUGUGGGGGAGAACGCGGGGAGACUUACACUAUUACAGCAUACACCCUCCGCGGGAGAGAGGGGGAUCGCAUCACCUCUCGCGCGUUUAUGAGCCGAUGUGGGAUUAGCUAGUUGGCGGGGUAAUGGCCCACCAAGGCGACGAUCCGUAGCUGGUCUGAGAGGAUGAUCAGCCACACUGGAACUGAGACACGGUCCAGACUCCUACGGGAGGCAGCAGUGGGGAAUAUUGGACAAUGGGCGCAAGCCUGAUCCAGCCAUACCGCGUGGGUGAAGAAGGCCUUCGGGUUGUAAAGCCCUUUUGUUGGGAAAGAAAAGUAUCAGGCUAAUACCCUGCGAGGAUGACGGUACCCAAAGAAUAAGCACCGGCUAACUUCGUG